Small nuclear RNA from Neogale vison (American mink), 147 nucleotides. RefSeq annotates it as U4 spliceosomal RNA. Lineage: Eukaryota; Metazoa; Chordata; Mammalia; Carnivora; Mustelidae. The record is from RefSeq and is a predicted model, not a curated record. The transcript has a single exon.
AGUUUUGCGCAGUGGCAGUAUCAUAGCCAAUGAGGUUUAUCCGAGGCGCGAUUAUUGCUAAUUAAAUUUUCAUUAUUCCUCCUUAGGUUAAUGUUGCAACUUCUCUAAUCACAGUGUAGUCUCAAUAAACAGUAUUUUAUUUAUGUG